RNAcentral lists this transfer RNA (72 nucleotides) under Chlamydiae bacterium SM23_39. RNAcentral describes it as "tRNA-Asn". It matches the Rfam family "tRNA". Rfam says of the family: Transfer RNA (tRNA) molecules are approximately 80 nucleotides in length. Lineage: Bacteria; Pseudomonadati; Chlamydiota. The record is from RNAcentral. RNAcentral also lists the same sequence under 2 other names.
UCCGGGUUAGCUCAGCGGUAGAGCAGUUGACUGUUAAUCAAUUGGUCGCUGGUUCGAAUCCAGCACCCGGAG